CAGAAGUACAGUCUGAGGCCAAUGCUGGAAUGGGACUCCGCUCCUUCAGGUGAGAAAACAAAGGAUGGAAGAGGUAAAGGGACAGAGCUGGAACCCCAGCCCAGGUCUUCGGCCCUAAACCCAGGGCUUUUUCCACUAUACCUCAGCCACCUAAACUUAACAGAUCUUACUCCCAGAGACUUCAGCUAAGGAGCCUCGGCUAAAAUGCCCCCAGCAGUGAACCUAAGAGGGUAGAGGAAAAGUUUUCCUCCCCAGCAGUUUCAAGCAGAGAAAUAGCACUUGUGGAAGUGUGAAGGUGCGAGGGAUCUGAGGAGCAGGAAGAGGUGGAGUGUGGCUGACCCACAGGAAGGGAGGGGCUGCGCAAGAGAUGAAGUUUCUUCGCCUCUUCCUUCUCUGUCCUCGGUCUCCUGCCAUCUCUCGUUUGUAUCUCCUGCAUCGACCCUUCCAGGGCCUCAUCUACACUCACCUGGACUGGCAGACUCCACCCGCUUCCCUCCCAGGGAAAGUGCCUCGGAAUGAAAUUGGCAACAUCUUUUGACAGCUUGUUCUUAUUACUCCGUUACCAGAAAAGGGAAAAUGGCUAUUUAUACGGUCCAUUGCCACCAGCUGCUGUUCGAUUAUGGGCCAAGUUUCUUUUAAAACAAUGAUUAAUAUUUCUUGAUUGACUACCUGGCAAACCACACUGGAUAAUCCAAACUAUGAGUGAGUGGAUUUCCCUAGAUUUGAACAGGGUUCAACUGAGCCUCCACUUGGAUAUUCCAAGUGGGUUUUUAUUGUUGAAUUUCGUUUACACCAAUUGCAGAGUUUGGUGCUCAUAGCAUUGCAUUGAAUCAUAUGACAUUGCCAUCUUUUACAUCUUUAAUGGUCAAAUAGCAAUGUCAUAUUUAUGGUUCAAUUUAAUAGAUUCUCAAUAUAUAUUUGUUGACUAGAAUUGAAUAGACUAUAGAAAUCAUUCUAUAAAAGAUUGGAGGUAGUGUAUAGGAAAUGCAGACACACAGAAAACUAAUAUAUUACGAAACAAACUCUUUAAGGCCAAAGAAAUUCUCAAUUGACAUAGGAGGUUUAAACAGGGAGGUAAAUAAGACCCAGAUAAUACACCACUAGGUCCUCCACAAUUGCAAUGGUUUUGCUAUAAACUUGGAAGUUAUCUUUCUGCACCAAAAUAAUAGCAAUGACAAUGACAAGAACAACCAACAUUUAUUUAGCACUUAGGUGCCCGGCUUGGUGCUUUAUAUACACUUUGUAUUUAAUCUGUACCACAAACCUAUUAGAGUAAUUAUUAUCCCCAUUUUACAGAUGAAAUAGUUAAAACAGAAUUAAUAUCUUGGAGGAGAAAAUUCAGUUUCUUAGAGAUUGAUUCAAUUGAAAAAAAUCUUGACAACAUCAUCAGCGUUAUGUGGGUAAAUGUAACAAAUCUUUUGUAAGGAUAUUCUCUUAAUAUCCCUUGGGCUUGGUCAAAGAUUCAUAAGAAUCUUUGAUUCUUAAAAUUCAUAAGAUUCUUCAAGUAUAAGAAUCACAUAGGGACUUCCUCUCACUCCAAAUUUGGAACCCAUGAUCCUGGCUCCUCCAAGUGUGGGCUUUCUGACGGCAUUAUUGGCAUGGCUCAGGAGCUCAUUAGAAAUGCCGGAUCUCAGGCCGCACUCCAGGAGGCAUCCAGACCUUAUUUUAACAAGAUUCCCGGGUGAUUUGUAUGCACAUUAAAGCUGAGAAGUGUGGCUUUAAGUGCAGAGGAGGUCCCAUGUGUCUGACCUCUAAACAGACUCCCAGGGUGAUUGUGAUUGUAGCUGGAUCAAUGAUAAAAUGGCACUCGAUAAAACACUGCCCAGGACACCAUACCAAAACACCAUCCAUUGAAAGCACUACGGUAAGCAGCUUGAGAAGCCAAGGGUCACAGGGUCAAGACAGUGCAGGAUAUGCGGGCACCACAGUUGGUGUUCUGAUGCACUGGCUGGAUCCAAGAAUAAAACUUAGGAUACUGAAAGGGCUUCAUCUACUUUUCCAUCCCCACACUCAGAGGAGAACACAUCCCUGCAUCCCUUACAUGUCGGGGAGCAGCCAAAUGGCCCACCUCCGCAGUGAAAUUCUUAGACGCUGAAACUGUAGCUAAAAAAUUGCCAACCCUGUGGUGGAAUGGUUAGGUUCCCACACUCCACUUCUUGACCUGGGGUUCCUGGGUUCAGAUCCCAUGUGUGGACCUACACAUCACUCAUCAAGCC
Equus asinus (donkey) is the source of this 2216-nucleotide long non-coding RNA. NCBI's taxonomy places the organism in Eukaryota, Metazoa, Chordata, Mammalia, Perissodactyla, Equidae. The record is from Ensembl.